Molecule: unclassified non-coding RNA, 253 nt
Filed under: uncultured Halomonadaceae bacterium
Lineage: Bacteria; Pseudomonadati; Pseudomonadota; Gammaproteobacteria; Oceanospirillales; Halomonadaceae
Description: contains 16S-23S intergenic spacer region
Rfam family: Bacterial small subunit ribosomal RNA
Source: RNAcentral
UACGGAGGGUGCAAGCGUUAAUCGGAAUUACUGGGCGUAAAGCGCGCGUAGGUGGCUUGAUAAGCCGGUUGUGAAAGCCCCGGGCUCAACCUGGGAAUGGCCUCCGAAACUGCCAAGCUUGAGUGCAGGAGAGGAAGGUAGAAUUCGCGGUGUAGCGGUGAAAUGCGUAGAGAUCGGGAGGAAUACCAGUGGCGAAGGCGGCCUUCUGGACUGACACUGACACUGAGGUGCGAAAGCGUGGGUAGCAAACAGG